RNAcentral lists this ribosomal RNA (650 nucleotides) under uncultured bacterium. RNAcentral's name for it is "bacterial SSU rRNA". It matches the Rfam family "Bacterial small subunit ribosomal RNA", at positions 143 to 811 of the family's 1533-position model. The record is from RNAcentral.
AUAACAGUUAGAAAUGACUGCUAAUACCGCAUAAGCGCACGGUUUCGCAUGGAACAGUGUGAAAAACUCCGGUGGUAUGGGAUGGACCCGCGUCUGAUUAGCUGGUUGGCGGGGUAACGGCCCACCAAGGCGACGAUCAGUAGCCGGCCUGAGAGGGUGAACGGCCACAUUGGGACUGAGACACGGCCCAAACUCCUACGGGAGGCAGCAGUGGGGAAUAUUGCACAAUGGGGGGAACCCUGAUGCAGCGACGCCGCGUGAAGGAAGAAGUAUUUCGGUAUGUAAACUUCUAUCAGCAGGGAAGAAAAUGACGGUACCUGACUAAGAAGCCCCGGCUAACUACGUGCCAGCAGCCGCGGUAAUACGUAGGGGGCAAGCGUUAUCCGGAUUUACUGGGUGUAAAGGGAGCGUAGGCGGUGCAGCAAGUCAGAAGUGAAAGCCCGGGGCUCAACUCCGGGACUGCUUUUGAAACUGUUGAACUAGAUUGCAGGAGAGGUAAGUGGAAUUCCUAGUGUAGCGGUGAAAUGCGUAGAUAUUAGGAGGAACACCAGUGGCGAAGGCGGCUUACUGGACUGUAAAUGACGCUGAGGCUCGAAAGCGUGGGGAGCAAACAGGAUUAGAUACCCUGGUAGUCCACGCCGUAAACGAUG